UGUCAGGAGGGCCCUGCCAGGCAUUGCUCAGCUGUUGUUUAAUGUGGCUCAAACGCUUACAGCAUAUAAGGCAAUGGCCCACACAGAAGAUGGACACCUUGUCCUCUGGAAGCUGGCAAACCAGCCUGAGGCUUGGGAGGCACUUAUUAGCAUUGUGAUCCUAAGACCCUCAGUGUGCCUUGGCUCCCUAUCUGUGGAAUGGCAGUGAUAGAAGCCGCUGGCUUGCACAACUCCCGGGAGCACCAUUCAGGCAGAGUACGAUGUGAGGAAAUCAAGGAUCAGAGGCUAAAGAAACAUCCCCAAGGUCACAAACCAGUGUGACGGAUCCUAGCAUGGAAACCUAACCUGGGACCAUCUGACUUCGAGGCCAGUGCCCUUUUCACUGCUUUGCACUACAUCUGGAAGGAUCCUGUAAGAAGGGCAUCAGAAGAGGGCAUUGGGCCAAGAAGAAGGAGACAAGGGAAGGCCCCAGGGACCAACUGAAGUUUGGUCACUGGGACAAGGCAUAGCAGUAUUACCGGAACAGAAAGGUGAAGUCCAGAAUGCCCCACCUUACCUCCAACUGGUCCCCCAUUGGGCUGAGCCUGGGCUUGCAGUGGGCUCACUGGCCCCCGUGCUGUACACAGAGCCCAGCAGCGUUGGACCGGUGUAUGCAUGUGCUUCCUCGCGUGGCAAAGGGUCAUUUAUAACGGAAAAUAUGGGAGUUGUUUUCCUUUCCAAGUAAGUGAUAUUUCUUGGUAAAAUGCUAAGAAAAUUCCUGAAA
Molecule: long non-coding RNA, 763 nt
Organism: Balaenoptera ricei (Rice's whale)
Lineage: Eukaryota; Metazoa; Chordata; Mammalia; Artiodactyla; Balaenopteridae
Exons: 2
Source: RefSeq, a predicted model, not a curated record